GAUCCAGACUUUGAUUAUGGCUCACGAUGAACGCUAGCUACAGGCUUAACACAUGCAAGUCGAGGGGAAACGACAUUGGAAGCUUGCUUCCGAUGGGCGUCGACCGGCGCACGGGUGAGUAACGCGUAUCCAACCUGCCCACCACUUGGGAAUAACCUUGCGAAAGUAAGACUAAUGCCCAAUGACAUUGAGUGCAGACAUCUAAUCUCAAUUAAAGAUUUAUCGGUGAUGGAUGGGGAUGCGUCCGAUUAGCUUGUUGGCGGGGUAACGGCCCACCAAGGCAACGAUCGGUAGGGGUUCUGAGAGGAAGGUCCCCCACAUUGGAACUGAGACACGGUCCAAACUCCUACGGGAGGCAGCAGUGAGGAAUAUUGGUCAAUGGGCGAGAGCCUGAACCAGCCAAGUAGCGUGCAGGAUGACGGCCCUAUGGGUUGUAAACUGCUUUUAUAAGGGAAUAAAGUGGGGCUCGUGAGCUCCUUUGCAUGUACCUUAUGAAUAAGGACCGGCUAAUUCCGUGCCAGCAGCCGCGGUAAUACGGAAGGUCCGGGCGUUAUCCGGAUUUAUUGGGUUUAAAGGGAGCGUAGGCCGUAGGUUAAGCGUGUUGUGAAAUGUAGGGGCUCAACCUCUGCACUGCAGCGCGAACUGGCUUGCUUGAGUACGCACAACGUGGGCGGAAUUCGUGGUGUAGCGGUGAAAUGCUUAGAUAUCACGAAGAACUCCGAUUGCGAAGGCAGCUCACGGGAGCGCAACUGACGCUGAAGCUCGAAAGUGCGGGUAUCGAACAGGAUUAGAUACCCUGGUAGUCCGCACGGUAAACGAUGGAUGCCCGCUGUUGGCUUGAAUUAGUCAGCGGCCAAGCGAAAGCAUUAAGCAUCCCACCUGGGGAGUACGCCGGCAACGGUGCAACUCAAAGGAAUUGACGG
RNAcentral lists this ribosomal RNA (923 nucleotides) under uncultured Bacteroidota bacterium. RNAcentral's name for it is "bacterial SSU rRNA". It matches the Rfam family "Bacterial small subunit ribosomal RNA", at positions 1 to 916 of the family's 1533-position model. The record is from RNAcentral. Lineage: Bacteria; Pseudomonadati; Bacteroidota.